This is an RNA transcript of Xiphophorus couchianus (Monterrey platyfish), 2863 nucleotides long. RefSeq lists it as uncharacterized. NCBI's taxonomy places the organism in Eukaryota, Metazoa, Chordata, Actinopteri, Cyprinodontiformes, Poeciliidae. The transcript has 8 exons. The record is from RefSeq and is a predicted model, not a curated record.
GGCUACAUUGUUAAAGCUGGGUGACUGUACAAGACUCUUUUUUUCUAAUGGACCAAUAGAAGGUAGCGCAUAUUUGUAAAGUGGAAGGAAACAAUCAUUUUAAUGUUUUGUCUUUGCAAGUAAAAACCAAAAAAAAAAAAACCAUUCCAUUGUAGCUCUGCCUAAAAAAAAACCAGGUAGGGUUAUCCUGCUGUAAGAUGGCCCAUCUGGCCCAGUUUAUUUUUUGCAGUCUGUAAAAGUCUUUCUUGCAGAACUUGCAUGUAUACAACUCCACCUAUCCCUAGUCCCUGCAGGUGAAGAGUAUUACUACAGCAUGAUGCUGCCACCACCACUACUAUGUUUCAGUAUGAGGGUGAUGUUUUUUUUAUUUGACGAAGGUUUGAUUUUGCUUGCAUUUCACUGAUGCACUUUUUCCACAAGUUUGCCAUGUCCCCAUAGCUUACGGUAAACUGUGAACAGGACUUCUCAACAAUGGCUGGACUAAACAAUUGUAUUUAAUCAGGUUUAAAUAUAUUCAGGUGUAAUGUUUACUUAUUAAGUGACUGACAUUGAUGUAGGAAUAUGCAAGUAAACAUAAAUCCACUACACUCCUCUGUUUGUAAGUAGGAAAAAAAUAAUUCUUUCUCCUCCUCCCCAUCUUCUUUACCAGCUACUUAGGUCUAAAUUUCACAUAUUAUCCCAAUAAAACUCAUGUAAGUUAUGGAAGAUAUUUUUCCCAUCAUAUUUACAUUUUCAGACUGUUCAUUUCGGCUCGAUUAUUCCCUCCAUUUUCUUUCAAAAACGAAAACGUGCAUUUUCCUGCCUGUCUAGAACCUUCCGCUCGCGACACAAGGCGAGCGUCUACUCUUUUAUAUCUAUGGUGGCGAGAACGUAAAAAUGACGAACGCAACUACGUUCAAUUUUAAGGACAACAGGAGUAUGGAAAAAACUCAACGAACUCUGGGUCAGCCCUGAGCUCUUCGGUAUCAGAACCGCUGAUUUCCAUGAGUUCAGUGGACUCGGAGUUGGUUCACCUAGAAGCAAGCGCAUGCGCCAGCGCCAUUCAAAGCCUUCAUGCGGAUGCCGCUAGAGCAGAGGGUCCUCCUUCAGGCUUAUGAAGAGCAUGCUCACAUAUUUAGUAAAAAGAGCAACAAGGCGGCAGCAGCUAAAGCGAGACAGGCUGCAUGGAAGAGCAUUGCUGCCCGAGUCAAUGCGUGUAACUCAGGGGAAAGGCGGACUUGGAUGCAACUGAAAAUGAAGUAUAAAAAUAUGAUUCAGAAAGAUACCCGUAUAAUGUUUUAAAACGAUUCACUCUGAGCUGCAUUCAGCUAACAGAAAACGGGCUGCGGCCCGAAAAAUCGACAGUGAGCUACUAAUCCCGCCCCUGACGGAGACGGAGGGGCUGGCCACCACCCAAAGCUCCCCCAGACCUGUUUCCGAAGGCAUCUCUGCAGACAGCUCACCUGAACCGGGGGCCAACCAAGACACAGUUACAGAUGGUGUUUAUGUUGCUGAGCCUUCAUCCACUGCAACAGGGGAAGAGCCUGCAGUCGAGGAUGGUGUUCUGUCUGCUGCCACCAAGAAGGAAGCUGAGAUUCAUACUGAAAGAAAAGCUGGCCACUACCAGGACGGGGUUCCUCCCACCUCCACAGCACGGCUCGACUCAUUACCAGUAGCAGAGUUAUACAGGCAUCAUCUCCUUAAGACUAUUGAGAAAACGGAUAAAGAAAUCACGUAUUUGGACCGCCAAAUCAAGAAAACGGACCUAGAAAUUCUUAUACUGGAGCGCCAGUUGAGGGAACAAAGAAGACUGAAUGACUGAAUUAUUUAUUUUUUGGUGGAGAGACUUGUUAGGAGACUAUCCUUACAUCUGGGAUGUCUGCAAGGAGUUGCAAAGAACUCAUUGAAUACAUUUGAGCAUAGAGCGGUGGGAAUAACAUGCAGAGCUUUAGGUUUAAUAGUACAUCCAAAUAUGGAGCUCACACUAUCCAUGCGAGUUGUUUAGUGUGAUUUGUACUAUUAGUUAAAACCUUAUUACAUACUCAACAGUAACAUUAUUAGACACUAUAAUGCCUAAGAGUCGUUCUGGUGCCUUAGAACAACUCUGUUGCUCUAAGAGUUGUUACUUAACGCAAGUCAUGGCAGCAAAAUAACGCACUUAAGUCAUCUAGACAUGGUGAAGACGACUUGCUGAAGUUAAAACCAACCAUCAAAAUGGAGACUUUGAACAUGUUGUGUUAUGGUAUUUCAGAAACUUUUGCUGCUCCAUCGGGCCUUUGUUCUCUAAGGUUUACAGAGAACAGCACAAAACAGAGGAAACAUCAAGUGAGCAACAGUCGUGUGCAUAAAAAUGCCUUUUUGAGUUUAGAGGUUAAAGGCGAAUGGGCAAACUAGUUAGAGGUGAUAGAAAGGCAACAGAAGCUCAAAUAAAACUUUGUCACUACCAAGCGGACAGAGCUUUUCUUUUCUGUUUCUCUAAAAGUCUGGAGCUCCCUUCCUCUUGACUCACAUCAGUUCUCUGUGACUUCCUUUUGAAGGCCAGCUAAACACAUUUUUUUAAAUCCGAUUUUGUUUUGCUUUGUGUAUUUUAUUUUGUUAUUCUGUUUGUUGAAGCACUUUGUGAUUUUCAUCUUGAAAGGUACUGUACAAAUAAAAUUUUACUUACAAAGUUAUGCAGAAUACCAUCUGUAAUCCCUAAAGCAGAUGGGCUGCAGCAACAGACGAUGGCACCAGGGCGGCUGCUCUUGUGAGCUGAGAACAGGAAACUGAGGCAAUACAAUAUCACUGUUUGGACAAUUUAACUAGAGCAAAGCAGAAAACAAGAGGGCUUUUUAUACAAGGGCUUUUAUUGGUCAAUUUAGCCAAGUUGUUGAGGUGAAAUUUG